Solea solea (common sole) is the source of this 1222-nucleotide long non-coding RNA. RefSeq lists it as uncharacterized. The transcript is spliced from 3 exons. The record is from RefSeq and is a predicted model, not a curated record. NCBI's taxonomy places the organism in Eukaryota, Metazoa, Chordata, Actinopteri, Pleuronectiformes, Soleidae.
AUUAGACUACUAACAAUGUAAACACCUUUUAAAUGCUUGAUCUAAUUUACCCAAAUGGUUCAUCAGUUUAGGACAGAAAAAAAUCAUUGAAUUUGACAUUGUUGGGGUCAGUAACCUGACCUCUACAUGUUUGGGAAACCAUGCAAAAGAUCGCAAGCUCUCUGCAUGACCCAACAGCAUCGAUGAGUUAUUUAAUUGCUCAAUUUUUAAAUCAGUCAAGAUUUUAUGAGCUGGGUCUUCUUCACACAACCGAGAACAAGGUAAAUUGAGUCGACUCGUAACAUGGUAAGGCAUUUCGUCCUUCCCCUUCUUCUCUGUGUGUGAGGAAAUCUGGCCACGGAUCCUGACUGAGUGGUAUACCAUGGCUGUGCAGUUUCCAAAAUCAGAUAAGGAUCCAUCUGAUUUUGUGACUCAGCCUGGCAUGAUAUGCAUUUAUCUUCCCCCGAAACAAAGGAUUGGAAUGGACAGGUUUGUAGUUUAAGUCACAUGACUUGUAGAUGGUGAAGCAUUUGUUUAAAUUAGGGUCAAGCAUUUUCAGGUGUCUGCUUUGUCAAUACUCUGGUGCCACGUCUUGCUAAACACACGAGAAGCUCUGAAUUGUGAAACUGCUGCCUCUUGCAGAUGUUACAACAGCAAUGGCUGUUGAAAGGCUGCAGGGAGAGAAAAUGAGAUCUGAGGACAGGAAAGUGGAAUUGAUUUAAUGCUUAGCAAAAUGAGGGUUUCAGCAGAGGACCUUUUUGUGGCGAGGCUACAGAAUCAGAAGGAACGUUUGUCUGGGCAACUGGGAGAUUUACAGUUUUUCAUGCAGCCAACCAAGACAUUGGGGUUAGCAUCAUCCCAAAUGGUGGGCAGAGACUGCUUGUAACUGUCAGUGUAGGACAGGAAAGGCAGGUAUAGGUUAGGGAGGGCAUCCAUCGGUGAGCUCUGACUGGAUGUGAGGACCUGUCACACUUGACCAGAGAUGAAGGCUGCAGCACAUUCCUGGAUCAGAGGACUCCAUGUUGGACACCACGACCUGGAGAAGUCUCGUCCUGGAUGGCUACGGUGAUGACCUAGCCCAAGAUGAACCGACCCUUCUACGACGAGGACUUGGCCCAAGAUGAACCAACCUUUUCCACGGGAUGUCUUCAGAUGUUGGACUUUGCCAAACUGUACACAUGCCUCAAUGGCUACUACGUCACUCUGCCCAACAGGACAUGGUCACCGAGAUUUUACAUGUGAU